CCUACGGGUGGCAGCAGUAGGGAAUAUUGCUCAAUGGGGGAAACCCUGAACCAGCAACGCCGCGUGGAGGAUGAAGGUUUUCGGAUUGUAAACUCCUUUUGUUAGAGAAGAUACUGACGGUAUCUAACGAAUAAGCACCGGCUAACUCCGUGCCAGCAGCCGCGGUAAUACGGAGGGUGCAAGCGUUACUCGGAAUCACUGGGGGUAAAGGGCGCGUAGGCGGGAUAGCAAGUCAGAUGUGAAAUCCUAUGGCUUAACCAUAGAACUGCAUUUGAAACUGUUAUUCUAGAGUAUGGGAGAGGUAGGUGGAAUUCUUGGUGUAGGGGUAAAAUCCGUAGAGAUCAAGAGGAAUACUCAUUGCGAAGGCGACCUGCUAGAACAUAACUGACGCUGAUGCGCGAAAGCGUGGGGAGCAAACAGGAUUAGAUACCCGAGUAGUC
This 440-nucleotide ribosomal RNA is filed under the name uncultured bacterium. RNAcentral describes it as "partial 16S ribosomal RNA". It matches the Rfam family "Bacterial small subunit ribosomal RNA", at positions 338 to 795 of the family's 1533-position model. The record is from RNAcentral.